GAUGAACGCUAGCGAUAGGCCUAACACAUGCAAGUCGAGGGGCAUCACAUGAAGUAGCAAUACGGAUGGUGGCGACCGGCGCACGGGUGAGUAACACGUAUGCAACCUGCCUUCAACAAGGGGAUAACCCGUUGAAAGACGGACUAAUACCCUAUAACACAGGGGUCCCGCAUGGGAAUAUUUGUUAAAGGACAACCGGUUGAAGAUGGGCAUGCGUUCCAUUAGCUAGUUGGCGGGGUAACGGCCCACCAAGGCAACGAUGGAUAGGGGAACUGAGAGGUUUAUCCCCCACACUGGUACUGAGACACGGACCAGACUCCUACGGGAGGCAGCAGUGAGGAAUAUUGGUCAAUGGACGCAAGUCUGAACCAGCCACGUCGCGUGAAGGAAGACGGCCCUACGGGUUGUAAACUUCUUUUAUACGGGAAUAAAGUGCCCCACGCGUGGGGUUUUGCAUGUACCGUAUGAAUAAGGAUCGGCUAACUCCGUGCCAGCAGCCGCGG
RNAcentral lists this ribosomal RNA (503 nucleotides) under uncultured bacterium. RNAcentral's name for it is "bacterial SSU rRNA". It matches the Rfam family "Bacterial small subunit ribosomal RNA", at positions 28 to 520 of the family's 1533-position model. The record is from RNAcentral.